ACAGAGACCAAUAAUGGAUAUCCCCGAGCUGAUUAAAGCAUCUUCCAUGGCCAUGAUCUCCUGGCUGCCUCUAACAAUGGAUGCACUCAAGCUGAUCGUAACAUUCCUCCAAGGUCGUGAGCCCUCAGGUUGCAUCUAUGUUGUAGGAGCGUGGAGACCACAACAGACACAUUGCACCAGAUUUAAGGAUUCUUCCCUGAUCACGAGCUCUAUCUAGGGUUGCAGCUCUGUUACAGGAGUCUGGAGACCAACAAUGGACCCACUUGAGCCGAUGUAAGCCUCUUCCGAGGCAUGCGGUCUCCAGUUGCAUCUAUGUUGUUAGGAACAUUGGAGACUAG
Molecule: long non-coding RNA, 338 nt
Organism: Prionailurus viverrinus (fishing cat)
Lineage: Eukaryota; Metazoa; Chordata; Mammalia; Carnivora; Felidae
Exons: 5
Source: RefSeq, a predicted model, not a curated record